Molecule: transfer RNA, 72 nt
Filed under: Candidatus Woesearchaeota archaeon
Lineage: Archaea; Nanobdellati; Candidatus Woesearchaeota
Description: tRNA-Tyr
Rfam family: tRNA
About the family: Transfer RNA (tRNA) molecules are approximately 80 nucleotides in length. Their secondary structure includes four short double-helical elements and three loops (D, anti-codon, and T loops). Further hydrogen bonds mediate the characteristic L-shaped molecular structure. tRNAs have two regions of fundamental functional importance: the anti-codon, which is responsible for specific mRNA codon recognition, and the 3' end, to which the tRNAs corresponding amino acid is attached (by aminoacyl-tRNA synthetases). tRNAs cope with the degeneracy of the genetic code in two manners: having more than one tRNA (with a specific anti-codon) for a particular amino acid; and 'wobble' base-pairing, i.e. permitting non-standard base-pairing at the 3rd anti-codon position.
Source: RNAcentral
CCCCGCUUAGCUCAAUGGUAGAGCGCAUGGCUGUAGACCAUGAGGUUCCCGGUUCGAGUCCUGGAGUGGGGA